CAGCAGCCGCGGGAAUACGAAGGGUGCAAGCGUUACUCGGAAUUACUGGGCGUAAAGCGCACGCAGGCGGUUUGUUAAGUCAGAUGUGAAAUCCCCGGGCUCAACCUGGGAACUGCAUUUGAAACUGGCAAGCUAGAGUCUCGUAGAGGGGGGUAGAAUUCCAGGUGUAGCGGUGAAAUGCGUAGAGAUCUGGAGGAAUACCGGUGGCGAAGGCGGCCCCCUGGACGAAGACUGACGCUCAGGUGCGAAAGCGUGGGGAGCAAACAGGAUUAGAUACCCCUGUAGUCCCUGUCUCUUAUAC
This 301-nucleotide ribosomal RNA is filed under the name uncultured bacterium. Its description in RNAcentral is "partial 16S ribosomal RNA". It matches the Rfam family "Bacterial small subunit ribosomal RNA", at positions 509 to 807 of the family's 1533-position model. The record is from RNAcentral.